GAUGAACGCUAGCGGCAGGCUUAACACAUGCAAGUCGAGGGGUAACAGGGGUGCUUGCAUCCGCUGACGACCGGCGCACGGGUGCGUAACGCGUAUAGAACCUACCUUUUACAGGGGGAUAGCCUUUAGAAAUGAAGAUUAACACCCCAUAGUAUUAACAAGAGGCAUCUUUAGUUAAUUAAAAAUUUAUUGGUAAAAGAUGGCUAUGCGUCCUAUUAGUUAGAUGGUAAGGUAACGGCUUACCAUGGCUUCGAUAGGUAGGGGUCCUGAGAGGGAUACCCCCCACACUGGUACUGAGACACGGACCAGACUCCUACGGGAGGCAGCAGUGAGGAAUAUUGGUCAAUGGAGGCAACUCUGAACCAGCCAUGCCGCGUGUAGGAAGACGGCCCUAUGGGUUGUAAACUACUUUUAUACGGGAAGAACUAUGCCUACGUGUAGGCAUUUGACGGUACCGUAAGAAUAAGCACCGGCUAACUCCG
RNAcentral lists this ribosomal RNA (482 nucleotides) under uncultured Flavobacteriaceae bacterium. RNAcentral's name for it is "bacterial SSU rRNA". It matches the Rfam family "Bacterial small subunit ribosomal RNA", at positions 28 to 505 of the family's 1533-position model. The record is from RNAcentral. Lineage: Bacteria; Pseudomonadati; Bacteroidota; Flavobacteriia; Flavobacteriales; Flavobacteriaceae.